CCAGCUCCAAUAGCGUAUAUUAAAGUUGUUGCAGUUAAAAGGCUCGUAGUUGGAUUUCUGGUGGGGGUCGCUGGUCGGGCCCGCAAGGGUCUGUACCGAUGUGUACUUCCGCCAUCCUUGGGGAGAGCCAUUCUGGCAUUAAGUUGUCGGGGUGGGGAUCCUCAUCUUUUACUGUGAAAAAAUUAGAGUGCUCAAAGCAGGCGUCUCAGCCUGAAUAGUGGUGCAUGGAAUAAUGGAAUAGGACCUCAGUUCUAUUUUGUUGGUUUUCGGAGCAUGAGGUAAUGAUUAAGAGGGACAGACGGGGGCAUUCGUAUUGCGACGUUAGAGGUGAAAUUCUUGGAUCGUCGCAAGACGAACUACUGCGAAAGCAUUUGCCAAGAAUGUUUUCAUUAAUCAAGGACGAUAGUUAGAGGUUCGAAGGCGAUCAGAUACCGCCCUAGUUCUAACCGUAAACGAUGUCAACCAGCGAUCCGCAGGAGUUAUUCAUGACUCUGCGGGCAGCUUCCGGGAAACCAAAGUUUUUGGAUUCCGGGGGGAGUAUGGUUGCAAAGCUGAAACUUAAAGGAAUUGACGGAAGGGCACCACCAGGAGUGGAGCCUGCGGCUUAAUUCGACUCAAC
This 619-nucleotide ribosomal RNA is filed under the name Nematoda environmental sample. RNAcentral describes it as "bacterial SSU rRNA". It matches the Rfam family "Eukaryotic small subunit ribosomal RNA", at positions 585 to 1204 of the family's 1831-position model. Lineage: Eukaryota; Metazoa; Nematoda. The record is from RNAcentral.